AUGAAACUUGUGAAUGCAAGUGAUCCCAUUGAUGUUCUGAAUAUCAAAAUGAAGAGAUUCAAGAAUUUUUUCAAAGGUUGGGGAUCCAACUUGUUUGGGAAAUCUAGAAAAAGAAGGAGAGAUCUUAGAGAGGAACUUGAACAUCUAGAAAAACUAGAAGAAACUGAUGUGCUUUCCCCUGAAUUAUACUGCAAUAAAGUUGAGAUUUUGGUGGAAUUAUAUAAUCUACUGGUAGAAGAGGAGAUUACAUUGAUGCAAAAAUCCCAUGAAAAUUGGUUGUUGAAAGGGGAUAGAAAUACUGACUACUUUCACAGAAUAGUAAAUGGGAGAAGGAGGAGGAAUACUAUUUUCUCACUUAGUUGUGGGGAUGAGAUGAUAGAGGGGACUAAAAACCUGUUGAAACAUGCAACAAAGUUCUAUAAGGACCUUUUUGGACCUGCAUCUGGAAAUCUAUGCAAGUUAAAAGAGGAUAUGUGGGAGUCUAAUGAGAAAUUGACAGAUAUUGAUAAUUUCAUUCUUACUAGGCCCUUUUAUGAAACAGAAAUAAAAAAUGCUCUCUUUUCUAUGAAGCCAAAUAAAGCACCAGGACCUGAUAAUAUCCCCAUUGAAUUUUUUCAACAUUGCUGGGAAAUAGUAAAAAGUGAGGUGAUGCUCCUGUUUGAGUGGUUUCAUGACAACAAGCUAGAUGUGCAGCGCUUGAACUAUGGGAUCAUUACUUUACUACCUAAAGUUGCGGGUGCUAAUAAAAUCCAGCAGUUCCGCCCCAUAUGCUUGCUGAGAUGCAUUUAUAAACUAAUCACUAAGGUGCUUACUAUUAGACUAGAGCCUUAUGUUGACAUCCUCUUUAGUAGACACCAAAAUGCUUUCAUUAAGAAAAGAGAUAUAAUGGAUGAAAUCAUGUCUUUACAUGAGAUUCUCCAUCAUACUUAUAGUAAGAAAAAAAUCUGGGAUCGUGUUGAAGCUAGACUUCGGGAAAGCUUACGACAAAGUUAA
Molecule: ribosomal RNA, 993 nt
Filed under: Triticum aestivum (bread wheat)
Lineage: Eukaryota; Viridiplantae; Streptophyta; Magnoliopsida; Poales; Poaceae
Description: partial small subunit ribosomal RNA
Source: RNAcentral